Molecule: ribosomal RNA, 426 nt
Filed under: uncultured bacterium
Lineage: Bacteria
Description: bacterial SSU rRNA
Rfam family: Bacterial small subunit ribosomal RNA
Source: RNAcentral
GUGAGGAAUUUUCCGCAAUGGGCGAAAGCCUGACGGAGCAAUGCCGCGUGAAGGAUGAAGGCCUAUGGGUUGUAAACUUCUUUUCUCAGAAAAGAAUUAUGACGGUAUCUGAGGAAUAAGCAUCGGCUAACUCUGUGCCAGCAGCCGCGGUAAGACAGAGGAUGCAAGCGUUAUCCGGAAUGAUUGGGCGUAAAGCGUCUGUAGGUUGUUUAAAAAGUAUUCUGUCAAAGAUUAGGGCUUAACCCUAGAUAGGCAGAAUAAACUUUUAAGCUAGAGUUUGAUAGAGGCAGAGGGAAUUCCCGGUGGAGCGGUGAAAUGCGUAGAUAUCGGGAGGAACACCAAAGGCGAAGGCACUCUGCUGGGCCAAUACUAACACUGAGAGACGAAAGCGAGGGGAGCAAAUGGGAUUAGAAACCCCGGUAGUCC